Molecule: transfer RNA, 70 nt
Filed under: Eleutherodactylus atkinsi (Atkin's robber frog)
Lineage: Eukaryota; Metazoa; Chordata; Amphibia; Anura; Eleutherodactylidae
Description: tRNA-Trp
Rfam family: tRNA
About the family: Transfer RNA (tRNA) molecules are approximately 80 nucleotides in length. Their secondary structure includes four short double-helical elements and three loops (D, anti-codon, and T loops). Further hydrogen bonds mediate the characteristic L-shaped molecular structure. tRNAs have two regions of fundamental functional importance: the anti-codon, which is responsible for specific mRNA codon recognition, and the 3' end, to which the tRNAs corresponding amino acid is attached (by aminoacyl-tRNA synthetases). tRNAs cope with the degeneracy of the genetic code in two manners: having more than one tRNA (with a specific anti-codon) for a particular amino acid; and 'wobble' base-pairing, i.e. permitting non-standard base-pairing at the 3rd anti-codon position.
Source: RNAcentral
AGGAACUUAGGCUAACUUAGACCAAGAGCCUUCAAAGCUCACAGCAGAAGUUAAAAUCUUCUAGUUUCUA